GGUUAAGCGACUAAGCGUACACGGUGGAUGCCCUGGCAGUCAGAGGCGAUGAAGGACGUGCUAAUCUGCGAUAAGCGUCGGUAAGGUGAUAUGAACCGUUAUAACCGGCGAUUUCCGAAUGGGGAAACCCAGUGUGAUUCGUCACACUAUCAUUAACUGAAUCCAUAGGUUAAUGAGGCGAACCGGGGGAACUGAAACAUCUAAGUACCCCGAGGAAAAGAAAUCAACCGAGAUUCCCCCAGUAGCGGCGAGCGAACGGGGAGGAGCCCAGAGCCUGAAUCAGUGUGUGUGUUAGUGGAAGCGUCUGGAAAGGCGCGCGAUACAGGGUGACAGCCCCGUACACAAAAAUGCACAUAUUGUGAGCUCGAUGAGUAGGGCGGGACACGUGGUAUCCUGUCUGAAUAUGGGGGGACCAUCCUCCAAGGCUAAAUACUCCUGACUGACCGAUAGUGAACCAGUACCGUGAGGGAAAGGCGAAAAGAACCCCGGCGAGGGGUGAAAAAGAACCUGAAACCGUGUACGUACAAGCUGGGAGCACGCGGCGUGUGACUGCGUACCUUUUGUAUAAUGGGUCAGCGACUUAUAUUCUGUAGCAAGGUUAACCGAAUAGGGGAGCCGAAGGGAAACCGAGUCUUAACUGGGCGUUAAGUUGCAGGGUAUAGACCCGAAACCCGGUGAUCUAGCCAUGGCAGGUUGAAGGUUGGGUAACACUAACUGGAGGACCGAACCGACUAAUGUUGAAAAAUUAGCGGAUGACUUGUGGCUGGGGGUGAAAGGCCAAUCAAACCGGGAGAUAGCUGGUUCUCCCCGAAAGCUAUUUAGGUAGCGCCUCGUGAAUUCAUCUCCGGGGUAGAGCACUGUUUCGGCAAGGGGUCAUCCCGACUUACCAACCCGAUGCAAACUGCGAAUACCGGAGAAUGUUAUCACGGGAGACACACGGCGGUGCUAACGUCCGUCGUGAAGAGGGAAACAACCCAGACCGCCAGCUAAGGUCCCAAAGUCAUGGUUAAGUGGGAAACGAUGUGGGAAGGCCCAGACAGCCAGGAUGUUGGCUUAGAAGCAGCCAUCAUUUAAAGAAAGCGUAAUAGCUCACUGGUCGAGUCGGCCUGCGCGGAAGAUGUAACGGGGCUAAACCAUGCACCGAAGCUGCGGCAGCGACGCUGAUGCGUUGUUGGGUAGGGGAGCGUUCUGUAAGCCUGCGAAGGUGUGCUGUGAGGCAUGCUGGAGGUAUCAGAAGUGCGAAUGCUGACAUAAGUAACGAUAAAGCGGUGAAAAGCCCGCUCGCCGGAAGACCAAGGGUUCCUGUCCAACGUUAAUCGGGGCAGGGUGAGUCGACCCCAAGGCGAGGCCGAAAGGCGUAGUCGAUGGGAAACAGGUUAAUAUUCCUGUACUUGGUGUUACUGCGAAGGGGGACGGAGAAGGCUAUGUUGGCCGGGCGACGGUUGUCCCGGUUUAAGCGUGUAGGCUGGUUUUCCAGGCAAAUCCGGAAAAUCAAGGCUGAGGCGUGAUGACGAGGCACUACGGUGCUGAAGCAACAAAUGCCCUGCUUCCAGGAAAAGCCUCUAAGCAUCAGGUAACAUCAAAUCGUACCCCAAACCGACACAGGUGGUCUAGAGAAUACCAAGGCGCUUGAGAGAACUCGGGUGAAGGAACUAGGCAAAAUGGUGCCGUAACUUCGGGAGAAGGCACGCUGAUAUGUAGGUGAGGUCCCUCGCGGAUGGAGCUGAAAUCAGUCGAAGAUACCAGCUGGCUGCAACUGUUUAUUAAAAACACAGCACUGUGCAAACACGAAAGUGGACGUAUACGUGUGACGCCUGCCCGGUGCCGGAAGGUUAAUUGAUGGGGUUAGCGCAAGCGAAGCUCUUGAUCGAAGCCCCGGUAAACGGCGGCCGUAACUAUAACGGUCCUAAGGUAGCGAAAUUCCUUGUCGGGUAAGUUCCGACCUGCACGAAUGGCGUAAUGAUGGCCAGGCUGUCUCCACCCGAGACUCAGUGAAAUUGAACUCGCUGUGAAGAUGCAGUGUACCCGCGGCAAGACGGAAAGACCCCGUGAACCUUUACUAUAGCUUGACACUGAACAUUGAGCCUUGAUGUGUAGGAUAGGUGGGAGGCUUUGAAGUGUGGACGCCAGUCUGCAUGGAGCCGACCUUGAAAUACCACCCUUUAAUGUUGAUGUUCUAACGUUGACCCGUAAUCCGGGUUGCGGACAGUGUCUGGUGGGUAGUUUGACUGGGGCGUCUCCUCCUAAAGAGUAACGGAGGAGCACGAAGGUUGGCUAAUCCUGGUCGGACAUCAGGAGGUUAGUGCAAUGGCAUAAGCCAGCUUGACUGCGAGCGUGACGGCGCGAGCAGUGCGAAAGCAGGUCAUAGUGAUCCGGUGGUUCUGAAUGGAAGGGCCAUCGCUCAACGGAUAAAAGGUACUCCGGGGAUAACAGGCUGAUACCGCCCAAGAUUCAUAUCGACGGCGGUGUUUGGCACCUCGAUGUCGGCUCAUCACAUCCUGGGCUGAAGUAGGUCCCAAGGGUAUGGCUGGCCAUUAAAGUGGUACGCGAGCUGGGUUUAGAACGUCGUGAGACAGUUCGGUCCCUAUCUGCCGUGGCGCUGGAGAACUGAGGGGGGCUGCUCCUAGUACGAGAGGACCGAGUGGACGCAUCACUGGUGUUCGGGUUGUCAUGCCAAUGGCACUGCCCGGUAGCUAAAUGCGGAAGAGAUAAUGCUGAAAGCAUCUAAGCACGAAACUUCCCCGAGAUGAGUUCUCCCUGACUCCUUGAGAGUCCUGAAGGAACGUUGAAGACGACGACGUUGAUAGGCCGGGUGUGUAAGCGCAGCGAUGCGUUGAGCUAACCGUACUAAUGAACCGUGAGGCUUAACCUU
RNAcentral lists this ribosomal RNA (2872 nucleotides) under Escherichia coli. RNAcentral describes it as "23S ribosomal RNA". It matches the Rfam family "Bacterial large subunit ribosomal RNA". Lineage: Bacteria; Pseudomonadati; Pseudomonadota; Gammaproteobacteria; Enterobacterales; Enterobacteriaceae. The record is from RNAcentral.